AUUGAACGCUGGCGGCAGGCCUAACACAUGCAAGUCGAGCGAGCGGCGGACGGGUGAGUAAUGUAUGGGGACUGCCCGAUAGAGGGGGAUAAAAACUGGAAACGGUAGCUAAUACCGCAUACUAUCGGAUAACCCAUAUGGGAUUAGCUAGUAGGUGGGGUAAUGGCUCACCUAGGCGACGAUCCGUAGCUGGUCUGAGAGGAUGAUCAGCCAGACUGGGACUGAGACACGGCCCAGACUCCUACGGAGGCAGCGGGGGGGAAUAGUGCACAAUGGGGGCAAGCCUGAUGCAGCCAGGCCGCGUGGAUGAAGAAGGCCCUCGGGGUGUAAAGUACUUUCAGUCGGGAGGCGUUACCGACAGAAGAAGCACCGGCUAACUCCGUGCCAGCAGCCGCGGUAAUUC
Molecule: ribosomal RNA, 403 nt
Filed under: uncultured bacterium
Lineage: Bacteria
Description: partial 16S ribosomal RNA
Rfam family: Bacterial small subunit ribosomal RNA
Source: RNAcentral